GGACGGUACUCCUCAGGGAUGUGUUUGUGGUCCUGUGAACUUUAAUGUAAUGAUAAAUUGUGUUUUUGAGUAGGAUGAACAGGGAAAAGUAGUUCAUUAUAUGCAGAUGAUGGAUUAUAUUCAGGAAAACAUGGAAACGAAGACAAGGCAUCCAGUUAGAGAUUCUCAACCAUCAAAUUCAGUAUAUGGGAAAACCACUGGGUUCACAAUUAAAGGCCAUUUCAGCAUCUCCUGUGGUGUCUUCCUGCUGUGAGUCCCAGAGUUUUCUCAGCAUGGAAGGUUAAAAACCUUUCUGCUGUCACUGCUCCACCCCUGACCUUUUAAGACUGGAGGUUACCUGUUGUCCUCUUCCAGCAUGGUCCUGAUGUUGUGGAGUAUCCAGUGUGGAACAUGUUUUGUCAAGAUCAACAGGUGUUCUGGUCCAGUGAGGAGACACUUGAGUUACAAUUAGUGCUAAAACAUUUUGACCUGGUUCUUAUGAUCUAAGUCAAACCGGCGGCUGAUGUGAUGGGAGAAGGUGGAACACCUUAAGAACCAUUUAUUAGCUAAAAGGCUGUCAUGGCUACUUUGUCCCUCUGGUGGGGAUGUGAUGGUGACCUAAGUGUCACAUGUUUUUAACCUGUUUCUGCUCUUACAUCAGAUUGGCUGAGCAUGCGAUGUUUAACUUUACCAAGCUGCUUAUUUUUCUCAGCUGUUUCAUAUUCAGACUUGCUUUAAAAGCAACCAAGAUCAAGCAGAUAAUGUUGCUCCAUCUGAAUCAGCAGUUUCCUCGUAUGAUUUCAUUUCCUACUGGAGACUCAAAGAGCAUGUUUGUUAUUAGCUUGUUAAAUGAUUCAAUCAGGUCUUUAACAGGAUAUAAGGACCAGCAGAGUAAAGUUACCGCUGUUUAUAGUAACUACGUUUAAGACCACAUGCCUUUAUUUUGAAAGCGUCCUAAUGAGCGGAAGUAGGGUAACGGAACCAGCUCAGUUGGACAAAAAGGUAAAACCGGAAUGAGUUUGGCAACACAGAGAAAGGAUGACGAAAAGAGGCAACCUAAGCUUAGCUUCAAUCGAUAGAGGAACAAGCUCUUACGUUGGUUGAUGACAUGGACGGAUUCAAUAAAUCAUCAUUUAACCACCAGUUCUGGUCUUCUCAAUAUUGACUGGAUGCUACACAGGAACUAAUUCAUCAGAUCUCAUCUUUAAAGCUAAAUCUAAGGGAUUUUCUGCUGGUGAAGGAAUGAAGAUAGAGAUGUUUAUGUUAAACUGUCACCAAAAUCUAGAAUGCCAAACUUCAGAUUUCAUUAAGUGAGGCAGAAGGCAAAUCCUGUGCAGCAGGAGCUGUUUGAUUGGUUCCUGGAGUUUAUUGCAGAGGGACUGAAGGAUGUUUAGUCCAUGUUCUUAUAGGCUGAUUUUAGACGGGAUCAUACAGGACAAUAUCCCUAAAUUUAUAGGAAAAUGUCAUGUUCUUGGAAUGUGGAGCAUGUGAACAAGAAAAAAGACCAUUAAUUGGUUCAGUCUUCAUAUUUUUAUGUGGACAAGCUGUCUGUUUUCAGUCUGAAUGGUGCUGGUUGCCAGCAGCUUCCUAAUGUUCUGACCAUGCCAACCAGUAUGAGAUAAUAAAAUGGCAGUAAAAGUGGUGGAACCAUACAGGACCCACA
Girardinichthys multiradiatus is the source of this 1642-nucleotide long non-coding RNA. RefSeq lists it as uncharacterized. The record is from RefSeq and is a predicted model, not a curated record. NCBI's taxonomy places the organism in Eukaryota, Metazoa, Chordata, Actinopteri, Cyprinodontiformes, Goodeidae. The transcript is spliced from 2 exons.